This 480-nucleotide long non-coding RNA is filed under the name Zalophus californianus (California sea lion). Its description in RNAcentral is "lncRNA (ENSZCAG00015013942.1)". The record is from RNAcentral. Lineage: Eukaryota; Metazoa; Chordata; Mammalia; Carnivora; Otariidae.
CGCUCUCUUAAAGCAAGCUGCAGCCUGAUACAGACACUGCCAGUUUCUAGGCAAUGGAAGGUUCUGGAAAGUGGAUCAUUGUCCCCCUCUGGUAGAUAUGAUGUUGGGUGCCUUUUUGGUCUGUCGGCGAGGGCAUGGAGAGCCUCCAGGCACAUGCGCCCACCUCUUAAACUUGCUAUUCCUUGUGUAAUAUCAAGUGGAAGUAUGAAGCACCACAAACUGCUUUGAGCAGAGCCCACUUCCCUUCACCCACAGAGAACAUGAAGCAGUUAUACCAACAUCAAUCAAGGAGAACCCACAGGCUGAACUCACACCGUUGAAGCAGGUGUGUGAGUGAGCCUUCUCCAACAGGCGCAUGUGACUGAGGUGUACCUCGGUGUCUUGCCCGCAGAUGUCAGUUACGAUGACCGUGUGGGGCUGUGCUCGCUCAGCACAGAGCUAAGACAAGCCUGUCAUCUUUAUGGAACAGAGCAAGUGGGG